AACCACUGCAUCAGAUAUAGUGUCCAACCAAGUACAUCAAUACCUAUUCUAAAAACAUAAGCAAAUAGAACAUAAUUUAAAAAAAAUAAGUUUAGAAAACUGGGUUGCCCCCAGGUAGCGCUUGUUUAACGUCUCGAGCCUGGUCCAAACCUUUCUAGCGCCCAUCAGUAGGUGCAAAACUUACCGUCACCCAUCAGUAGGUGUACCUUCCUGUAUCCUUCAGUAGAUACUUAAUUCUUCUAGCAUCCCUCAAUAGUUGCUAUCCCAGUAGCAUUCAUCAGUAAACAUCGUUAGUGACAUCCAUCAGUAAAUGUCUAACCAUAUAGCAUCCAUCAAUAGAUGUUAAUAUUUCUUAUCUUCAUUGGCAUUCAUCAGUAGACACCAAAUCACCUAACAUCCAUCAGUAGAUGUUGUAGAAGCAUCCAUCAUUAGAUGUUAUCAUUACUGCCAUCAGAAGCAGCGCAUCACCCAAAAAAAAUAAAAUAAAAUAAAAUAAAAUAAAAUAAAAUCAAAUAAAACAAAAUAAAAUAAAAUAAAAUCAAAUCAAAUCAAAUCAAAUAAAAUCAAAUCAAAUUAAAUCAAAUAAAAUAAAAUAAAAUAAAAUAAAAUAAAAUCAAAUCAAAUCAAAUCAAAUCAAAUCAAAUUAAAUAAAAUAAAACAUAUAAAAUCAAAACAAAAUUAAAGAUAAAAAAUUCAGAAACUGGGUUGCCUCCCACCAAGCGCUCUUUUAACGUCAUUUGCUUGACCCAGUAAAGCCCAAACACCCAUCAGUAGGUGUUGAUAUUUUCUGUUGGCGUUCUUCCUUCCUCCAUGACACCAACAACAUCUCGAGACUUUUCUUGUCACCAACUCUAAGGAUCCUUCAUCUUCAGAAUUCUGUUUGCUUUGAUUGAUAAUCUUGCAACCCACAACCUAUUCUUGAAUUUCACUGAUAUGCCAGGUUUGGGUUUGUCACUUUUCACAUCAGGAUGUUGGUGAACCACUCCCCUUUCUU
This 994-nucleotide long non-coding RNA is filed under the name Vigna radiata. RNAcentral's name for it is "long non-coding RNA (VRAD_LNC016000)". The record is from RNAcentral. Lineage: Eukaryota; Viridiplantae; Streptophyta; Magnoliopsida; Fabales; Fabaceae.